Molecule: ribosomal RNA, 496 nt
Filed under: uncultured bacterium
Lineage: Bacteria
Description: partial 16S ribosomal RNA
Rfam family: Bacterial small subunit ribosomal RNA
Source: RNAcentral
GAUGAACGCUGGCGGCGUGCCUAAUACAUGCAAGUCGAGCGAACAGACGAGGAGCUUGCUCCUCUGACGUUAGCGGCGGACGGGUGAGUAACACGUGGAUAACCUACCUAUAAGACUGGGAUAACUUCGGGAAACCGGAGCUAAUACCGGAUAAUAUAUUGAACCGCAUGGUUCAAUAGUGAAAGACGGUUUUGCUGUCACUUAUAGAUGGAUCCGCGCCGCAUUAGCUAGUUGGUAAGGUAACGGCUUACCAAGGCAACGAUGCGUAGCCGACCUGAGAGGGUGAUCGGCAACACUGGAACUGAGACACGGUCCAGACUCCUACGGGAGGCAGCAGUAGGGAAUCUUCCGCAAUGGGCGAAAGCCUGACGGAGCAACGCCGCGUGAGUGAUGAAGGUCUUCGGAUCGUAAAACUCUGUUAUUAGGGAAGAACAAAUGUGUAAGUAACGAUGCACGUCUUGACGGUACCGAAUCAGAAAGCCACGGCUAACUACGU